RNAcentral lists this ribosomal RNA (517 nucleotides) under uncultured bacterium. RNAcentral describes it as "bacterial SSU rRNA". It matches the Rfam family "Bacterial small subunit ribosomal RNA", at positions 355 to 866 of the family's 1533-position model. The record is from RNAcentral.
UCGGGAAUAUUGGACAAUGGGCGAAAGCCUGAUCCAGCAACGCCGCGUGCGGGACGAAGGCCCUCGGGUCGUAAACCGCUGUCAGGAGGGAGGAACGGUGCGUGGUUAAGAGCUGCGUACUUUGACAGUACCUCCAGAGGAAGCCCCGGCUAACUCCGUGCCAGCAGCCGCGGUAAUACGGAGGGGGCUAGCGUUGUUCGGAAUUACUGGGCGUAAAGCGCGCGUAGGCGGACUGAUCAGUCAGGGGUGAAAUCCCGGGCUCAACCCCGGACUGCCUUUGAUACUGUCAGUCUUGAGUCCGGAAGAGGCGAGUGGAAUACCGAGUGUAGAGGUGAAAUUCGUAGAUAUUCGGUGGAACACCAGUGGCGAAGGCGACUCGCUGGUCCGGUACUGACGCUGAGGUGCGAAAGCGUGGGGAGCAAAACAGGAUUAGAUACCCUGGUAGUCCACGCCGUAAACGAUGAGUGCUAGUCGUCGGCAGGCAUGCCUGUCGGUGACGCAGCUAACGCAUUAAGCA